This 10603-nucleotide long non-coding RNA is filed under the name Ananas comosus (pineapple). RNAcentral describes it as "long non-coding RNA (ACOM_LNC020547)". The stretch from base 5850 to 5931 matches the Rfam family "tRNA". Lineage: Eukaryota; Viridiplantae; Streptophyta; Magnoliopsida; Poales; Bromeliaceae. The record is from RNAcentral.
AUUAAUAACAUAUUGAUAUAGAAUUCGAAUGUUAGAAAAAAUAAAGAGUGAGAAUAUUAUUUUAUUUUUAAAAGAAUAAAAAUAAAUCAGAAUAAUUAAAUAAAUGUAUUAUAAAAUUUACGUCAUCGUAGAUGGUGUAUAUAUAGCAGUAUUUUAUGCUAUUAAUACUAAAUUAUUUAAGCAUGCCAUAUCCAAAUCGAUACUUAAUUGCAAUCAUAUAGAUAUAUAUACAUGGCGUACAAUUUUGUAUGCCAAAUAAAAUAAAAAAAAUUUAUGUGCAAAAGAAUCCUUUGCUCAUAAAACUAAAUCGCGAACGUCAAAGUCGAUUUUGUAUGCAUACCUACAAAAAUUUAGAAAAAAUAUAUCCAUUGAUAUUGACUUGAGAGUAGACAACUGCAGCUAUAUACCAUUUGGAGAUGGCUCUCAAUUUUUUUUUUUUAUUGGUGUAUUUUUAAUUUUUUAAUGUUUAAAAAUUUAGGUGAUUGUAGUCUAUUAUUUUAACUAUUGCUCAGUAAAUAAGAAAUAAAACCAUUAACAACUAGAACCUAAUAUUAGGUUGAAAUUUUAACUUAAGUAAUUAAAACAACUCAAACAAAAAAAAGGUGUUAAAAUAAAAAGUUGAACUUGUGGGCUAAUUCCAAAAUAGCCUAGAAUUGUGUGGGAUCUCCAUACAAUUUUAUGUCCGGUCCAUAGACCAGGUCCAUCAGAUAAGCAUGCCGCGUACAGAAUCCGAGCCCCUCGUAAUUUGCGCCAUCCCCCCGCCCCCAAAAAAGUUCACGGGGCUUCGUAUCAACUAAACCCCUCUCUCUCUCACUUUACUCACCCUUUCCUAAACCCCGCUGUGAGGGGAAAGAUAAGAGAAGUCGGCGACGGGUUCCUCAAAUCCGAGCCAAUGUCGGCGACGGGUUCGGGAGAUGUACGGUCGGGGACGGUGGACACGACGGCCCCCUUCGAGUCGGUGAAGGAGGCCGUCCAUCGCUUCGAGGCCACGUGGCGGCCGCAGCCGCCUCCGAUCCUCCUCCGCCCCGAGGUAUCGGAUGUAGUUGCAAAUACAGUGCAGUAGAAAAGGCAUGCAGUUACAGAUACUGUAAGGGGCUGUUUGGUUGCACGCAUUUGCAACUGCAGUGCAGUUGCAAAUGCGUGCAGCCUCAAUUUUUUUGUUUGGUUUAGUGUAGUUGAGUUCAACUGCUGCAGUUCCAACUACACAAGAAGGUCCAAAUGCUGCAGUUGGAACUACAUCCAAAUGGCUGUAGUUCCAACUGCAGCAGUUGGUGAGGGAUAGGAUCACCCACAAAUUAACAAUAAUAAAUAAAUAAAUAAAUAGCUAAAUAAAUAAAUAAUAUAUGUAUAUAGGUAAAUAAAAAUACUUGUAAAUAAACUCAUACUAAUAAAAUUUUUUAGACAAUACAAGCUUUGUGCAAAAAAUUAAAUUUUUUAAAUUUAUUUUAUUUAAAAUAUAAAUAUAGUUUUUUUAAAAAAUUUUUAUAGAAUGUGAUCGUGUAUGUUAAUUUAAUAAGUUUUAAUUAAUUAUAAUUAUUAAAUUUGAUAAAAAAAAAUGAGAGAAUCGUUUAAAUUUUAAAGUUUGAUUUACAUAUUGAAAUUAAAUAAAUUAAAAUUUUUAAAUGUGUCGAUUAAUAAGUUGAAGAAUGUUAUAUAUAUCUACUUAUUUAUUUAUAAAUAGUAAAUUUAAAUGAUUAAUAAACUUAUACAAUUAUUUUAUGUUUAAUGAAAGUAAUCUCACCACUCUAUCUGAAAAGGUGACAAAAUUCACAAAUACAACUAUCAGCUUCAUAUUAUCAAACAGAAUAAAUGUAACUGCAGCAGUUGCAACUGCGUAAAACCAAACAGACUAGGUGUAGUUACAACUGCAGCAUUUGCAACUGCAUGUAUUUCCAACUACACUGUUUUUAUAACUACAUCUAACCAAACAGCCCCUAACUGUAGCUAUACAUAUUUUGUUAAAUUUGGUAUUGUAAAUAAUAGUAUAGCUAUAAAUAAUUUAUUUUUUUCGCAUUUAUUUGAUUGAUUGCAAUUGGAGUCCUAUUUACAAAUUUGUAUAUUUUUAAUGUAAAAAGAAAAAUGGUUGAAAAUUUUAUUAUUUUCCACAUUUUUUUUUAACUUCAAAUACCAUUUCUGUAGUUUCGCGUUUUCUCACUUUAGUACCAUGUGGUUUAAAGUGUAAUAUUUUAGUACUUUAUGAUUUUAUUUUGCUCUUUCUGUCGACAUCUUUAUUAACUCUCUAUAAAUUAUUAUAUACAAAAAAAUUCAGAUAUUCCAUAUGAGCCUUCUCGAAUAUUCACUUUAGUAUUCUAUGAUUUACCGAAUUUUCACUUUAGUAUCACGUGGUUUAACUUUAUUUCUAAUUUAAUAAAAAAAUUAACAUAGAGAAUAACGGAAAGAGAAAAACGAAAACACAUAAUACNGAGGAUAAGAAUCACUCUUAGUGGAUAAGGCGACCACUUAGAAAUCUUAAAUGAAUAUGCAUUCUGCAAAUCAAACAUCAAAAGUCACACAACAGUUUUCAGAGCUACAAAUAAUCAGAGGAUCGAAAAAGAACGGUUUACAGUAUUGAUUGUAUUACCAUUUUCCAGUAUGACUGCAGAACGACACUAUGUUAUCCAAAUCCUCAUUCUCCAGUUUGCGAAUAAUAAAUCAAUGUCUAAGAUCUUCAUGAAUAUAAGCAGUCUAGACUUCACAAGUGCAAUAUAUUGCAUGACCAGGGCGGAGAUGAUACAUUAUAGAGUACCGAGAAGAAUUCUGUGAAGUAAGAAAUCAAACUACAUUAGAAUAGCGAAGAUCAAAUAAAAAAACAAAUAAGAAAAUAAGUUUUCCUAAAAAUCCCAAUAAAUUAUAGCACAAUUUUGUAUUGGAAAAGUAUAUUUUUUUUGAGAGAGAUAGGUAGCACGCUACCCGCUUCGUUUAUUUCAUUUAGAAAUAAACUUAGCUAGAAAUGUGAAUCAACUAGGAUUCGAACUUGGGACCUCGGAUACCAACCACCAAGCCCUUUGCCACUUGCUCUAGGAACGGUCGGUGUGCACUAUAUAUUGUUAGGAGAAUGAACCAAAUGUAUUAUGGUAAAGUGAUAAGUUUCAUUAAUGGAGUACAUUGUAGGCAUUGAAAUGGUUUGUUGGGCUAUUUAUCACUUGAUUUUUUGUGGUUUUAUUACUGUAAAGUAGAAUUAAGAUCGACGACGCACGUCUAUGACUUGGUCAAUCUUAGGGUCAUUGAUUUCAUUGAUUUGUAAUGUUUCGAGAAUGCUCUAUAUUUUCUAUUGGAAAUGGGAAAUUGUCGCGGUACUACAUUUUGCUUUCAGGAUUACUAAAUUUUAUAAACUGAACCAAACAUUGUAAUUCAAUGUACACUGUAAUUCGCGAUUAUAUUACUGUAUUAAAUCAAAUGUGGUAAUGCAGCAUCAGUAGUAAUUUGAUUUAAAAAUCUCAAAUACCUAAUUAUGUCGAAAUAAAUCUGUAACGCUGCAUAACUUAAACCAAACGCGCCCUAAGAGGCAUCUUACAUUGUGGUUGGAUUGGAGGUUUUACCACAUCCACAAAUGAUGGGAAUAAGGUUUCCAUGAAAAUCCUUUGUGCCUUUCUGAUACAAAUUGUAUGGUAACACUCUUGUCACUUUGAAUAUAAAUAUGGAGGAUUUUCAGAGUGUUAAGAAUCGUUUGUCGCAGAAACCAUGGGAUUUGAAGCUUUGAACUCAGUAUCUUUUGCUCUGAUACCAUACGGAAAUUUUAGUUCCUGCAUGUUCGACCUAAAGUUUCUCGUAGUUUGCUUUCAAAGGAAAAAAUAAUUACUAUAACGUUCGACUCAUCAGUGUAGGUUUAGACGUUGUUUCUGUUAUGGUGAUAAGUGAUAACAAAUUCACAUACUAUUUGUCGAAAGGGUGAUGAUGUUUCAGCUCACUUUAAGGCCGUUGAAACUUAAUAAUACAGAAAAGCACUUAAACAAAUUUUUGUCAAAAGAUCGAUACUGUUUGUUCCUCUGAACAAAUCCCUAAUGAUGUUUGUUUUUCUUAUGCUUCUCAUGCACUUAAACAAAUUUUUUGUCGAAAGCUCGAUACUGUUUGUUUUUUCUUUACUUAAACACAGUUUCUUUCAGGAGAUCGAACUGAUGAAAGUGGAAGAACAAACCGUGAAGCUAGAGAUGGAUCUUUUCGUGAAGGAAAGGGAAACACUGAAGGUGUUGAAAGAACUAGAAAUGACAAAAAGGAUCGCCGACGACUUAAAGUUACAACUACAAAAGUUAACAUCUGAAUCUCCAUCUGCGACGAAGGUACAUCCUAUUCCAAACACCGAAGAAGAACGCCCCGUGAAUAGCAAUAAACAUUUUGAAGUAUUCCCUCGAAAUACCGGCGGCAAACAGUCUCCUGGGAAAACUCUGAUGGGAUUAGAGCAGGCAAAGGCGAACCUAAGCAGGACGACAAGCGGCCUAUCUGGAGUUCGAACAACAAUUGAAUCCUUGAAAAUGAAAAUAGAGAAAGAGAAGUCAUUGCGCGCAAAAACAGAUGAGAGGCUACAUUUAAAUAGAGCUACAGCUGCGUCCUUGGAACAAAUGCUAGGUAGAUACAUCGCCGAAUUGCGACUAAAGAGUGGCCCGAAAACUAUAAGCACUCAAAGUGCAUCGGAGGUUUGGGCUCGGAUCAGACAACUGAAUUCUGAGAAAGAGAAUUAUGUAAGAACGAUGGAAAACCAUAAAUCGGAUAUCUGUAAUUUGACUGCCGAGAUUGAACAGACGAAGUCGAGAAUAAAGACGGCGGAAGUGCGGCUAAUCCUGGCCAAGAAGAUGAAGGAGGCAUCGAAAGUUGCGGAAGCAAUUGCGCUUAGAGAAAUCAGAUCUCUAAGAGAGAAAUCAGAAACAGAUCCUUCCGAAGUGACACUCCCUGUUAAAGAUUACGCCACUCUGACCUUGAGAGCCCGAGAAGCCGACGAAAUUUCUAAAAAGAUAGUCGGUGCGGCAACGCUUGAAGUAGAGAGAGCGAAGCAAUCUAAGCUUGAGCUAGUGGAGAAGGUCGAGGGAGUAGAAGCAGAAGUUUCAACCGGAAGGAAAGCACUAGAAGAAGCGCUGAAGAGAGAAGAGGCUGCUAACGAAGUGAAGCUCGAAGCCGAAGAAGCACUCCGCAGAAUGCGGUCCGAACUUGGUCAGCAACGGCGGUCCGUUCACAGCUCCACCAAGUUCAAGAACUCCGCGGGGACGCAAAGAAGAGGAGGUUCUCAAAUGCUCGAUGUCAACGGGCUGAGUUUGGCGACGAGCGGGCCGCUGACUGUUUUGGGCUCGACGUUGUCGAUCGGGCAAAUACUUAGGAAGAAGCUGAUGGCUCCCGAAGAGCACAAAGUGCGAAUGAGCGCGAAAGGGAAUGGGAAGCCCAGGGUGUCUCUCGCGCAAAUUCUAGCCCAGAAGCACGAACUUUACUCGCCGCCGAGGAUAGACGACGGCAGCGCUCGCAAGCAUUUCUUCGCGAGGAGGAGGAAGUUUAGUUUCGCCGGUCUGGCAUUGCUGCUGGCGAAGCAGAAAAGGAGAAAGAGGAAGCAUGAUUUGAACUCUUAAGGUGGCCGGCGUGCGCCGAGAUUGCGACGUAGUUUAGUUUCACUUAGGUGGUUAGUGUAGAACUAGUAACUAUGUAAAUAAGCUAUAAAAGAACCAUAGUUCCUGGAGAAUGAUAUUUGCCUUGUAUUAUAAGUUAUUGUUUUAAAAUUUGCCUAUAACUGAUGCAUAAUACGUGUGGUUAGUGUUCUGGGCGUGAUCUUUAGGAGUGUCUAAUUGUUACUUAUGUAAUUAAAUAAUACUCUUAUGUAAUUAAAUAAUAGUUUAACCAUAAUGGUAAACAUAAAAUAUAACAACAACAACGUCGAUAUGUCCGAGUGGUUAAGGAGACAGACUUGAAAUCUGUUGGGCUUCGCCCGCGCAGGUUCGAACCCUGCUGUCGACGGAUUAUAAAUUUUAUCAAAAUUUUAAAUGGUGAAAUUUAAGAUUUAGAUUUGAAAUUUAAAAUUUGAAACUUAAAACUUAAAAUUUAAAAUUUGAAUUAGAAGAUAAAAAUCCAAAAUUAGAAUUACAUUUUGGGAAGCAAGUUUUAACUGCUUCUGAUUUUGUAACUUUUGAAAUUUAAACUUAAAAUUUUAGAUUGAAAAUUUAAAAUCUGAAUUUAUAUUUUAAAUUUGAUUCCAAAUUUUGAAUUUUGAGAUUUAAAAUUUAAUAUUUGAGAUUUAAGAUUUAAAUUUUAAAAUAAACUUAAAAUUUGAAAGUAAAAUGUAAAAAUUUGAAUUUAAAUUUAAAUUUUGAACCAAAUUUUAAAUUUAAAGUUAAAAUUGAAGUUCAAAAUUAGAAUUAGAUUUUAAAAAAUAGGUUUAGCUACUUCAGAUUUUGAGAUCACUAUUCGAAUCAGAUUUUAGAAAAAAAGGUUACCUAUGAUGCCCCGACUUCCUAGGGGGUCACCAAUUCUAGGACUACUCCUAUCAUAGCAUGCUUAACUCUCUUAACCUUUCCUCUUGGGCUUUACCACCAUCCAAAAUGCUUAAGCAGGGGUAAGAGUUUAACCCUAUUAUAUUUUAUAUAUUUUAUAUAUAGAACUAUCUGGAGUCUGACAAUCUCCCCCCUUUAAAUCAUGACGUACUGGUCAGGCUCAGACUCACAAGUAUCAAACGAUGUGAGACUCAUCUCGUGAGACUCAUCUCGCUAGCCUCCCUAGCUCAGCCGAGACUCAUCUCACACUUCCGGCUGGUAAUUGGAUAUCCUCAUUCCUAUCUGAUGUGGAAUUAUUGAGGUGUGACAGACUUUCUCUGUUAAGGCCAUGACGUCCUUGUCAGUCUAAUCACACACAUAAUCCAAAUUUAUCAGGCGAUGUGAGACUCGUCUCGCUAAUCUUGUCAUUCAGACCCUAGUAUAGUCGGUCAUCUUGUCAUUCAGACUCCGGCAUAAUCUAUUAUCUUAUCUUUCAGAUCUUGGCUAAGUCGAGACUCCCCACAAAUUUUCCUCUGGUGGAGCGGCUCUGAUACCAAAUGUAAUGCUCCGACUUCUUUGGGGGUCACCCAUCCUAGAACUACUCCCGUUUUAGCACGUUUAACUCUCUUAACCUCCUAGGCCUUGCCACCACCCAAAAUAUUUAAAUCGGAUUAAGAAUUUAGCUCUAUUAUAUCUUAUAUAUAGGACUAUUCCAGAUCUUACAUUAUCAUAUGUUUUGUUGAAAAAAAAAAAACUUUUAUCCCUUUUCACUUUCUAUAAUAUAUAGGACAAGCAUCCUUUUGUUUUUCUUUGGCUUAAGGCCCAGUUGUUUCAUGAAACGCUUUUUUUCUAAUUUUUUUAUUUAUCUGGUUAAGAAAAAAGCCUAUUUUAAAUUUCUUUCCUACAUUUUAGAAAAAGUUAUUGCUUUAGUUUUUCAAAAAAAAUUCACAAAACAAAAAUACUAUUUUUUCAUGCAAUAUGAAAAAUUUUAUUUUAAAAAAUUAAUUUUUUUGAAAUUAACACUAAAUUUUUUUUUCCAUAAAUAAUUUUUUUCAUGCGUUUUUUCAGAAAUCAAAUAAUUUUAUUUUCAAUAAAGUGGAUAACAUAUUAUUUUUUUCUCAAAAAAUAUAGUACAACUCAUUUUUUUAUCUUUUUUAUUUUUUAUUAAUUUGUUACUUAUUUUGUUUCCUCUAAAAUUUCUGGCAUCUUUGAACUUUCCCUGUUUACCCUUGCAUAGUAGAAAAUGAUAUGCCACCCAUAAUUCAACAAAAUUUUUUUUUUGAGAGAUAGGUAGCGCGCUACCCGCUUCGUUUAUUUCAUUUAGAAAUAAACUUAGCUGGAAAUGUGAAUCAAUUAGGAUUCGAACUUAGAUCUUGGGUACCAACCAUCAAGUCCUUUGUCACUUGCUCUAGGGACGGUCGGUAUAAUUCAAUAAAAUCAUUAACACAAAAAUACACAUAUGAUACAAAUCCGAAUAAUAAUGCAAGGUUUGAUAGAGCUCUUGUUUCCAUUUGUCCUCGUCCUGAAUAAUAUAGUAAGUAAGAGCUAAAAAUUAAAAAAAUUGGUUUCUUAUCCUGAAGAAAAUAAAGUGGAAGAUGGAAGGCUCUUUUCUUCGUAUAAUUCAUUCUGAUUCGUUAAAAUUAAAUCUAUCAAAAAUCUUCUUUUGCUUAUUUCAUUGAAAAUAAAGUUCAUGUUAAAAUAGAGUUUCGAUGAACUAGAGUAAUUAGAUGAAUAUUUUUUUUUUCCAUUGUUUGUUUGUUAGUUUUGGAACUAAAAUUUUUCGAUUCUGUUGAUUUAUUUUGCAAAAAAUUAAUGAUGCAAAAGUUAAAAAUAUGAUAGAUAAAUUAAUAUGUUAUUAUUAUUAUUAGGCUAAAUUAUAAAAAACCUUCAUGUCAAAAUUUGAUUUUUCAUUUUCCUCCCCUGUCAUUUUAAAAUCUACACUUUGCCUCCUUAUAAAAUGAAAAAUGUGCACCUCACCUCCUACCGUUAGUGAUCCGUUAUGGUUCCGUUAUAAAAUAUUUUUUUAUACCAAAAAUACCCCUCCGUCCUCUUCCCUGUUGCUUCGUCUCCCUUCGGCUCGCUGUCUCGCCGCUGCCUCGCCACCUCGCCCUCCUCCACUGUCUCGCCUUGGCCCUCGCCCACAUCCCCUUCGCCCUUCUCCGCCGCCUCGCCUUCGCCCUCGUUGUCGUUGCCUACCUCUCCAUCAGCGCCCACCUCGAUUUCAUCUCUACUGUCGCCGAAAUCGAGGGGGUGGCGAGGGUGCAGGAGAAGAAAGGGAGCAGGUGGAGAAGAAAAUGGAAAGAAAUCGCGGCCGAUCGAGGUGUGAAUCGCGGCCGAUGGAGGCGGCGGUUGAGGAAGAUGAGGGAGGAGACGAAAAUAGUGAGGGGCAAAAUGGUCAUUUUACACACCGUACCCCCCUGUGAACAUUUUUUAUUUUUACAAGGAGUUAAAAUGUAGGUUUUUAAAUGAUAUGGGGGGAAGUGAAAAAUCGAAUUUUGACAGAAAAGUUUUAUGUAAUUUAGCCUUAUUAUUAUUUGUAACUGAUUUCGGCAUAAAGUUAGCAAAAUAUUGUGCUAUUUUAAAAGUUUUGAAUUUAAACCGAUGGUAAAACUAUGAAAAAUCAAAUAAUAAAACUGAAUAUUUAUAGUCGCCACCCCACGUAGUAAGUAAAGAUAAAUUAUAUAAUAAAAAUUAGGAGCAAUUGCUUAUAUAUUCCUAAAAAAAUUUUAAUUUUCUGGUUUAUUUUUUUUAGAAGGCAAAAUAUUUUUUUUACGUUCCAUCCUAUUUCAAAUAUAUUUUUAGAGUUAAAUUCUGUUAAUGAACGAUUAACAAUAACUAUUAUCUGUAUAAAAUAACUAUUUUGUCCUUUCAAAUAUACUCUUUUACUAUCAACCGACUUUUCUUAUUUGUUAGGGGCAUAAAAAGUAUUCUUUAAUUUUUAGUCUUUUCAAGUAUACUUUUUUACCAUCACCAAUAUUUCGUAUAUGCUUUUAAGUUAAGAAUAAAAGAGGCAUUUUGAUUUUUUUAAAUUCUAGUAGAUAUUUAACUCGCGUUUAAUCUAAGUUAACUUAACGGGUGAUAACUGUAGGAAUAUUUUAGAAUAACGUAAGAUCAUGUAAGGAGUAUAUUAAAAAAAAUAAUAAUAAAUAAUAUAUUUUAAUCUAUUUUGAAUAUAUUAUGAUCUGUCAGUAAAACAGAUGCUCUUACUAUCGCUAAGAUCCGCUCUGUUGUAUCCAUAUUUAAAAUCUAUGUACAAAGCAAUCAAACAACACCACAAUUGAAACCGCGGGCCCCACCACCCUCCACAAAUCCCUCUCCCCUCUUUUUUUUUCUCUCUCUCAUUUUAUUUAUCUCUUCGCCUCCUUUUCCUCUCUCUCUCUCUCUCUCUCUCUCCUUCCUCUCGAAGAGUCCAUUUGCUACACGGAAAAUCGCUUUGGGCUUGUCGGUGAAGCUCUUAUCCAGCUUCUUUUUUUUUUCUUUUUUUUUUUUUUCUCACAGCUCUUCGUAUCCUCUUAGGUAAAAUUAUUUUCAGAUCUCUUCGAGAUUAUCUUGUGCGGNGAUUUUUUUUUUUUUUUUGCUUUUCAGUAGAUCAAUUCGAUCGUGAUUUAACGGGAAAAAAAAAAGAGUUGUUUAAUUUAGGCAUGAAAUCCCGUUUAGGAACUCAAGCUAAAAUCGUAGUAGUAAAAUUGUUUUGAGACCCCUUCUUAUGGAUCCAACUUGAAAUAAUACCUCGUUUUUAUUAUUUUUAUUGUUAUUUUAAAUUGGCUCUUCUUAAACUUUUGCUGUUUUGAUUUGCAAAUUGGGGAUUUUGUUAAAUUUGAUGGCUUUAUUAGGUAUGUGCCCUUACUUGUGGUAAGAAACAUGUUGGUUCAUUUGCCUAAAAGCGGUUAAAGCCAUUAAAUUUAACGAAAUCGCGGUUAAUUUUAACGUAAUGCUUAAUAAGGGACUAGAAUCAUUCAAAAAUAAAAAAAUUACAGUUGAAGGAGUGUCAAUUUAAAGGGGGAAAAAAAUGUAAAAACGUGCAGAAUUUACAUGAAGUAGGAACCAUUUUGAAUUGGCUAGCCAAUCUUUCAAAAUUUUAAUUUUACUACCCCGGCUUUCGAUUUGUUUGGAUGGUACCUUAACUUCAAAAUUUAAGCUAAUUAUUCACUUUAGUAAAU